Molecule: ribosomal RNA, 509 nt
Filed under: uncultured bacterium
Lineage: Bacteria
Description: bacterial SSU rRNA
Rfam family: Bacterial small subunit ribosomal RNA
Source: RNAcentral
AGAGUUUGAUCCUGGCUCAGGAUGAACGCUGGCGGCGUGCUUAACACAUGCAAGUCGAACGAAGCUCUUUGCGGAUUCUCGGAUUGAAGUAGAAGAUGACUUAGUGGCGGACGGGUGAGUAACGCGUGGGUAACCUGCCUCUGACAGGGGGACAACAGUUAGAAAUGACUGCUAACACCGCAUAAGCGCACAGUAAGGCAUCUUACAGUGUGAAAAUAUUUAUAGGUCAGAGAUGGGCCCGCGUCUGAUUAGCCAGUUGGCAGGGUAACGGCCUACCAAAGCGACGAUCAGUAGCCGGCUUUAACGAGUGAACGGCCACAUUGGAACUGAGACACGGUCCAAACUCCUACGGGAGGCAGCAGUGGGGAAUAUUGCACAAUGGGGGGAACCCUGAUGCAGCCAACGCCGCGUGAGUGAAGAAGUAAUUCGUUAUGUAAAGCUCUAUCAGCGGGGAAGAUAAUGACGGUACCUGACUAAGAAGCUCCGGCUAAAUACGUGCCAGCCGCAGC